Molecule: transfer RNA, 77 nt
Filed under: Gammaproteobacteria bacterium
Lineage: Bacteria; Pseudomonadati; Pseudomonadota; Gammaproteobacteria
Also listed under: 3 other names
Description: tRNA-Arg
Rfam family: tRNA
About the family: Transfer RNA (tRNA) molecules are approximately 80 nucleotides in length. Their secondary structure includes four short double-helical elements and three loops (D, anti-codon, and T loops). Further hydrogen bonds mediate the characteristic L-shaped molecular structure. tRNAs have two regions of fundamental functional importance: the anti-codon, which is responsible for specific mRNA codon recognition, and the 3' end, to which the tRNAs corresponding amino acid is attached (by aminoacyl-tRNA synthetases). tRNAs cope with the degeneracy of the genetic code in two manners: having more than one tRNA (with a specific anti-codon) for a particular amino acid; and 'wobble' base-pairing, i.e. permitting non-standard base-pairing at the 3rd anti-codon position.
Source: RNAcentral
GCGCCCGUAGCUCAACUGGAUAGAGCAUCAGCCUUCUAAGCUGAAUGUUGCAGGUUCGAGUCCUGCCGGGCGCGCCA